UCCCUGAUGGUCUCAUGGUCAGGAUUUAGCACUCUCACCUCUGUGGCCUGGGUUCAAUUCCUCGUCAGGGAA
Molecule: transfer RNA, 72 nt
Filed under: Chelonia mydas (Green sea turtle)
Lineage: Eukaryota; Metazoa; Chordata; Testudines; Cheloniidae
Rfam family: tRNA
About the family: Transfer RNA (tRNA) molecules are approximately 80 nucleotides in length. Their secondary structure includes four short double-helical elements and three loops (D, anti-codon, and T loops).
Source: Rfam by way of RNAcentral